GCUUAUCCAACUUCUUCCCUACAUACCCCUAUCUAUCAAUGUGCUCCCCCUUUUCAACCAGAUACGAGACACAACACAAGGUCACCUUUUUUGUCCCAUUCCCCCUGGCCUAUGAUUCCUCCUUUCCCCCCCCCCCCCACUGAUGAAUGCUCUUACUUGGCCCCCGCUGACAUACUGAACAUCCACGAUCAUAAACUCAUGACAUAUCCCCCUUAUCAGGAAAACCUACAAAACAUAACGGUUAGAAUCACAAACAGAA
Molecule: non-coding RNA, 259 nt
Organism: Paramuricea clavata
Lineage: Eukaryota; Metazoa; Cnidaria; Anthozoa; Malacalcyonacea; Plexauridae
Source: the annotation of a GenBank genome assembly